CAGCAGUAGCCGCGGUAAUACGAAGGGGGCUAGCGUUGCUCGGAAUCACUGGGCGUAAAGGGUGCGUAGGCGGGUUUUUAAGUCAGAGGUGAAAUCCUGGAGCUCAACUCCAGAACUGCCUUUGAUACUGAAAGUCUUGAGUUCGGGAGAGGUGAGUGGAACUACGAGUGUAGAGGUGAAAUUCGUAGAUAUUCGCAAGAACACCAGUGGCGAAGGCGGCUCACUGGCCCGAUACUGACGCUGAGGCACGAAAGCGUGGGGAGCAAACAGGAUUAGAUACCCCGGUAGUCCCUGUCUCUUAUAC
Molecule: ribosomal RNA, 304 nt
Filed under: uncultured bacterium
Lineage: Bacteria
Description: partial 16S ribosomal RNA
Rfam family: Bacterial small subunit ribosomal RNA
Source: RNAcentral